GAGUAAAGCUCCGGCGCUUCGGGAGAGGGCUGCGGCCCAUCAUCUAGUUGGAUAUUGGUAGACGGCGUACCAAGGCAGAGACGGGUAGGGGGCGUGAGAGCGCUGAACCCCCACACUGGCACUGCGACACGGGACCACACUCCUACGGGAGGCAGCAGUAAGGAAUAUUGCGCAAUGUACGAAAGUCAGACGCAGCGACGCCGCGCGUGCGAUGAAGGGCUUCGCGGUGUAAAGCCCUUUUAUGGGGGAAGAGAAAAAGGACGGUACCCCAUGAAUAAGUCCCGGCUAACUACGUGCCAGCAGCCGCGGUAAAACGUACGGGACAAGCGUUAUCCGGAUUCACUGGGCGUAAAGAGCGUUGAGGCUGCUCCGUAAGUUGGGCGUGAACGCUCCGGGCUUAACCCGCAGAUGUCGCUCAAUACUGCGGGCCUUGAGGACAGCAUAGAAACGUGGAAUUCCCGGUGUAGUGGUGAAAUGCGUAGAUAUCGGGAGGCGCACUCAUCUCGAAGGCGGCUUUCUGGGCUUUUCCCGCCACAGAAGGGGGAAGCUACGGGAGCGAAUUGGUUGAGAGUCCCCGGUAGUCCCGUCUGUCAAUAAUGGAUGGCGAGAUACAGUGGUGUGAUGUCUCUCUGUGGUGAGGCAUACGCGUGGCGAGUCCGGCCUGCGGGAUUGCGGCUCCAAGGAUAAAACUCGGUCUCGUUCACGGGGGGGCGCACACGCACCAGAUCGUUGGUUUUCAUUAGACCUUACCCGAAGAACCAUACCUGGGUUCGAUCUGCGCAAUGUAGGGAACCAUAGGGGGAGAGUCCUUCGGUGAGCAGAGGGUCAGGUCGCCGUCAUGCGCUGUCAGUCAGACUCGUGGCCGUGAGUCGUCGGGUUAGGUCCGGUUGCGGGUGCAAGGCCCGCCCUUAGUUACAAGUGUCUAAGGGGACUGCCCGGGACAACUGGGAGGAAGGUGGGGAUGACGUCAAGUCAGCAUGGCCUUUAUAUCCAGGGCUACACACACGCUACAAUGGCCAGUACAAUAGGUAGCCAAGUCGUGAGACGGAGCCUAUCCUAAGAGCUGGUCUCAGUUC
This 1076-nucleotide ribosomal RNA is filed under the name uncultured organism. Its description in RNAcentral is "bacterial SSU rRNA". It matches the Rfam family "Bacterial small subunit ribosomal RNA", at positions 199 to 1294 of the family's 1533-position model. The record is from RNAcentral.